GAGAAGGAAGAAACAUAAUGGUUUAUGUGAUUGGCUUGAAACUAAUUUAAGGGGGUUCGAUUCCUUCCUUUCUUG
This 75-nucleotide transfer RNA is filed under the name Elusor macrurus (Mary River turtle). RNAcentral's name for it is "tRNA-Ser". It matches the Rfam family "tRNA". From Rfam's summary of the family: Transfer RNA (tRNA) molecules are approximately 80 nucleotides in length. Lineage: Eukaryota; Metazoa; Chordata; Testudines; Chelidae. The record is from RNAcentral.